AUACGGAGGAUGCGAGCGUUAUCCGGAUUUAUUGGGUUUAAAGGGUGCGUAGGCUGUGCGUUAAGUCAGGGGUGAAAUGCCGUCGCUCAACGACGGAGCUGCCCUUGAUACUGGCGUGCUGGAGUACGGAUGCCGUUGGAGGAAUGAGUGGUGUAGCGGUGAAAUGCUUAGAUAUCACUCAGAACACCGAUUGCGAAGGCAUCUGACGAAUCCGUCACUGACGCUGAGGCACGAAAGCGUGGGGAUAGAACAGGAUUAGAUACCCUGGUAUUCCACGCCGUAAACGAUGAUGACUAACCGUCGGCGAUAGACAGCCGGUGGCCAAGCGAAAGCGAUAAGUCAUCCACCUGGGGAGUACGUCGGCAACGAUGAAACUCAAAUGAAUUGACGGG
RNAcentral lists this ribosomal RNA (392 nucleotides) under uncultured bacterium. RNAcentral's name for it is "partial 16S ribosomal RNA". It matches the Rfam family "Bacterial small subunit ribosomal RNA", at positions 523 to 917 of the family's 1533-position model. The record is from RNAcentral.